CGAACGCUGGCGGCAGGCCUAACACAUGCAAGUCGAACGCAUGCCUUCGGGCAUGAGUGGCGCACGGGUGAGUAACGCGUGGGAACCGACCCUGGGGUUGGGGAUGACCGCUGGAAACGGCGGCUAAUACCCGAUACGCCUUGAGGGGGAAAGAUUUAUCGCCCUGGGACGGGCCCGCGUUGGAUUAGGUAGUUGGUGGGGUAACGGCCUACCAAGCCUACGAUCCAUAGCUGGUUUGAGAGGAUGAUCAGCCACACUGGGACUGAGACACGGCCCAGACUCCUACGGGAGGCAGCAGUGGGGAAUAUUAGACAAUGGGGGCAACCCUGAUCCAGCCAUGCCGCGUGAGUGAAGAAGGCCUUAGGGUUGUAAAGCUCUUUCAGUGGUGAAGAUGAUGACGGUAGCCACAGAAGAAGCCCCGGCUAACUCCGUGCCAGCAGCCGCGGUAAUACGGAGGGGGCAAGCGUUGUUCGGAAUUACUGGGCGUAAAGGGCGCGUAGGCGGAUAUUCAAGUCAGAGGUGAAAGCCCCGGGGCUCAACCUGGGGAUUGCCUUUGAAACUGGAUGUCUGGAGGUCCGGAGAGGUGAGCGGAAUACCC
RNAcentral lists this ribosomal RNA (598 nucleotides) under alpha proteobacterium 20/6F5. RNAcentral's name for it is "bacterial SSU rRNA". It matches the Rfam family "Bacterial small subunit ribosomal RNA", at positions 30 to 671 of the family's 1533-position model. Lineage: Bacteria; Pseudomonadati; Pseudomonadota; Alphaproteobacteria. The record is from RNAcentral.